RNAcentral lists this ribosomal RNA (1430 nucleotides) under uncultured Staphylococcus sp. RNAcentral describes it as "bacterial SSU rRNA". It matches the Rfam family "Bacterial small subunit ribosomal RNA". The record is from RNAcentral. Lineage: Bacteria; Bacillati; Bacillota; Bacilli; Caryophanales; Staphylococcaceae.
GCUAUACAUGCAAGUCGAGCGAACAGACAAGGAGCUUGCUCCUUUGACGUUAGCGGCGGACGGGUGAGUAACACGUGGGUAACCUACCUAUAAGACUGGGAUAACUUCGGGAAACCGGAGCUAAUACCGGAUAAUAUUUCGAACCGCAUGGUUCGAUAGUGAAAGAUGGUUUUGCUAUCACUUAUAGAUGGACCCGCGCCGUAUUAGCUAGUUGGUAAGGUAACGGCUUACCAAGGCGACGAUACGUAGCCGACCUGAGAGGGUGAUCGGCCACACUGGAACUGAGACACGGUCCAGACUCCUACGGGAGGCAGCAGUAGGGAAUCUUCCGCAAUGGGCGAAAGCCUGACGGAGCAACGCCGCGUGAGUGAUGAAGGUCUUCGGAUCGUAAAACUCUGUUAUUAGGGAAGAACAUACGUGUAAGUAACUAUGCACGUCUUGACGGUACCUAAUCAGAAAGCCACGGCUAACUACGUGCCAGCAGCCGCGGUAAUACGUAGGUGGCAAGCGUUAUCCGGAAUUAUUGGGCGUAAAGCGCGCGUAGGCGGUUUUUUAAGUCUGAUGUGAAAGCCCACGGCUCAACCGUGGAGGGUCAUUGGAAACUGGAAAACUUGAGUGCAGAAGAGGAAAGUGGAAUUCCAUGUGUAGCGGUGAAAUGCGCAGAGAUAUGGAGGAACACCAGUGGCGAAGGCGACUUUCUGGUCUGUAACUGACGCUGAUGUGCGAAAGCGUGGGGAUCAAACAGGAUUAGAUACCCUGGUAGUCCACGCCGUAAACGAUGAGUGCUAAGUGUUAGGGGGUUUCCGCCCCUUAGUGCUGCAGCUAACGCAUUAAGCACUCCGCCUGGGGAGUACGACCGCAAGGUUGAAACUCAAAGGAAUUGACGGGGACCCGCACAAGCGGUGGAGCAUGUGGUUUAAUUCGAAGCAACGCGAAGAACCUUACCAAAUCUUGACAUCCUUUGACAACUCUAGAGAUAGAGCCUUCCCCUUCGGGGGACAAAGUGACAGGUGGUGCAUGGUUGUCGUCAGCUCGUGUCGUGAGAUGUUGGGUUAAGUCCCGCAACGAGCGCAACCCUUAAGCUUAGUUGCCAUCAUUAAGUUGGGCACUCUAAGUUGACUGCCGGUGACAAACCGGAGGAAGGUGGGGAUGACGUCAAAUCAUCAUGCCCCUUAUGAUUUGGGCUACACACGUGCUACAAUGGACAAUACAAAGGGCAGCGAAACCGCGAGGUCAAGCAAAUCCCAUAAAGUUGUUCUCAGUUCGGAUUGUAGUCUGCAACUCGACUACAUGAAGCUGGAAUCGCUAGUAAUCGUAGAUCAGCAUGCUACGGUGAAUACGUUCCCGGGUCUUGUACACACCGCCCGUCACACCACGAGAGUUUGUAACACCCGAAGCCGGUGGAGUAACCAUUGGAGCUAGCCGUCGAA